This is a long non-coding RNA of Populus trichocarpa (black cottonwood), 713 nucleotides long. RefSeq lists it as uncharacterized. The record is from RefSeq and is a predicted model, not a curated record. The transcript has 3 exons. NCBI's taxonomy places the organism in Eukaryota, Viridiplantae, Streptophyta, Magnoliopsida, Malpighiales, Salicaceae.
UGCCUGGCCAUAGUAGUAUAGUGCCAUAGUAGUAUAGUACUGAGUAACCCUUCUCUUCUGUUUUUGUGCUCUCAAAUAAGUAGUUAUCGUCUCCAAAACAGCCUCACCACUCCCCCUGCUCGCAUUAAUAUCCCUUCCAAACCCCAACCCUGCUGCUCCACAUCUCCUUCAUCCCUCUCAAACAACUCCAGGGUUUUCUGUUGCGGUUAUAGUUUCAGGAAUCAAGUGAAGAAAAUGGAGGAGGGUCAUCAUGAUCUUUCAAAGGUUACAGUGGCUGGUGAUCCUCAGUUACUCCAAAACAAAGUUAAUGCAGUUUUUUUGGCUGGUCCUGCUAAACUUCAGGAUGAUGCACCCAUGUGGGGGGUAGUCAAGCUUGUUUCCCAGAUGUGCUCAACAGUCAACUGAAGGGGCUUGCUUUCUAUAUCAACAAAUUCUUUAGCUCAUCCCUGGCUUUGACCAAGUGGAGAUGUGAACUAGACUUAACCCUAACUCAUGAUAUUCUUUCUUCUCAAUGUGCCAUUCAAAGUAAGUCAUGGAUUAUCAUUUCCCAGAGCAAGGAUGCUGGCAAAAGAUGCUCAUUAUUUUGCUAGAAUGGUCAGGAUUCAAGAUAAAAUAUUUGUAGUUUCAUUGGAUCCGAAAGCAAUUAGAUCUUGUAUGAUGCUAAGAAUCUACGUAUUCAAGACCGAUGGUUAUUCAUGCCAUCCUUUAUUCAA